Molecule: long non-coding RNA, 480 nt
Organism: Carassius gibelio (silver crucian carp)
Lineage: Eukaryota; Metazoa; Chordata; Actinopteri; Cypriniformes; Cyprinidae
Exons: 3
Source: RefSeq, a predicted model, not a curated record
GCAGCAGCUCGGCGUGUCGUCGCUGGGCCGCAGUCAGAAUGGUACGAGCACAGAAACAUCUCCAGAUCAGGACACACACAUCAGUGUGUGUGUGUGUGUGUGUGUGUUAUUCUGUGUGUGUUUGUAGGGAGCGAGGCGUGUGAGGAGAUCGUGAGUAAGAGACCCAGACUGACCGAAGCAAACGGACACGAGUCGCAGCACAAACACACAUCUGAGCAGAUGUAUUACUUGGACGCCUCCAAAGAGGGAAACGUGGCGCGAUUCUUCAACCACAGCUGUGAGCCGAACCUCUUCCUGCAGAACGUCUUCACGGACACACACGACCCACAGUUCCCGAUCAUCGCCUUCUUCACCAGCAGGUGUGUUAAAGCUGGAUCUGAACUGACCUGGAACACGUGAGAGAAACCACCACGACGCUUCAUACUGUAAUGACUGUCCAGAGUUAAGUGUUCGGGAAUUUGUAUAUUCAAUUUUGCCUGA